UUAAUUAUGAUGGAGGACAGGACAGGAUCGGAGCGAGAGGAGGUGUCACCGUAAUGAGAGCGGUAUGUGCUGCGAAUCACUACCGUCCAACGUUUUUCCGUCAAGAAAAUGCAGCAUUUCUGCAGAAAGAUAGCCCCGGCCAGCAGUUGUCUUUUGGGCAGCGGAGUUGGCCUGAAAUUAUAAGCUUCGAGGCUCACCGAAUUGGC
RNAcentral lists this long non-coding RNA (206 nucleotides) under Setaria italica (foxtail millet). RNAcentral describes it as "long non-coding RNA (SITA_LNC002905)". Lineage: Eukaryota; Viridiplantae; Streptophyta; Magnoliopsida; Poales; Poaceae. The record is from RNAcentral.